RNAcentral lists this ribosomal RNA (501 nucleotides) under uncultured bacterium. RNAcentral describes it as "partial 16S ribosomal RNA". It matches the Rfam family "Bacterial small subunit ribosomal RNA", at positions 30 to 523 of the family's 1533-position model. The record is from RNAcentral.
AUUGAACGCUGGCGGCAUGCCUUACACAUGCAAGUCGAACGGCAGCGGGGACUUCGGUCCGCCGGCGAGUGGCGAACGGGUGAGUAAUGUAUCGGAACGUACCAUUCAGUGGGGGAUAACUAUCCGAAAGGAUAGCUAAUACCGCAUAUUCUGUGAGCAGGAAAGCAGGGGAUCGCAAGACCUUGCGCUGAUUGAGCGGCCGAUAUCAGAUUAGCUAGUUGGUGAGGUAAAGGCUCACCAAGGCGACGAUCUGUAGCGGGUCUGAGAGGAUGAUCCGCCACACUGGGACUGAGACACGGCCCAGGCUCCUACGGGAGGCAGCAGUGGGGAAUAUUGGACAAUGGGGGGAACCCUGAUCCAGCCAUGCCGCGUGUGUGAAGAAGGCCUUAUGGUUGUAAAGCACUUUAAGCGAGGAGGAGGCUCUUUUGGUUAAUACCCAAGAUGAGUGGACGUUACUCGCAGAAUAAGCACCGGCUAACUCUGUGCCAGCCGCCGCGGUAA